Molecule: ribosomal RNA, 599 nt
Filed under: uncultured bacterium
Lineage: Bacteria
Description: bacterial SSU rRNA
Rfam family: Bacterial small subunit ribosomal RNA
Source: RNAcentral
CACGAGUUCCGUGCCGCAGCUAACGCAUUAAGCGCCCCGCCUGGGGAGUACGGCCGCAAGGCUAAAACUCAAAGGAAUUGACGGGGGCCCGCACAAGCGGCGGAGCAUGUUGCUUAAUUCGAUGCAACGCGAAGAACCUUACCUAGGCUUGACAUGCACGGAAAUCCUCCAGAGAUGGUGGGUCCGUAAGGGCCGUGCACAGGUGGUGCAUGGUUGUCGUCAGCUCGUGUCGUGAGAUGUUGGGUUAAGUCCCGCAACGAGCGCAACCCUCGUUCUAUGUUGCCAGCACGUCAUGGUGGGGACUCAUAGGAGACUGCCGGGGUCAACUCGGAGGAAGGUGGGGAUGACGUCAAAUCAUCAUGCCCCUUAUGUCUAGGGCUGCAAACAUGCUACAAUGGCCGGUACAAAGGGCUGCGAUACCGCGAGGUGGAGCGAAUCCCAAAAAGCCGGUCUCAGUUCGGAUUGGGGUCUGCAACUCGACCCCAUGAAGUUGGAGUCGCUAGUAAUCGCAGAUCAGCAACGCUGCGGUGAAUACGUUCCCGGGCCUUGUACACACCGCCCGUCACGUCACGAAAGUCGGUAACGCCCGAAGCCGGUGG